ACGCUCGGCUCUCAGCCAAGAAGGCCUGGGUUCGAAUCCCGGACGCAGCGAGGCAAAUUGGCGAGCUUCUUAAUGUGCAGCCCCUGUUCACCUAGCAACAAGUAGGUACGGGAUGUAACCCAAGGGGCAAUCCAAGGGAUUGUGACCUCACUGUCCCAGUGUGUCGUUGAGUCAUACUUUGUCCAACCGCCAUUCCAGGGCUUGGACAAGAAGCGCCUUACUAGGCAGCAAACAAUCUCCCUAAGGCUGUUAAGGGAACCGAAGCCUGGUGGAACCCCAUUGCUUCACAACCGUUUGAUAAGGGAGGAUGGAAUACUGUCCAUCUCCCCGCCUCACGUUCAUCUCUUUGUAAGGAGAGCCGAGGGGCAAACCAUGAACCUCAAGAACAGGGGAAUGGCUGGCUGGAUGACCAGCUGAUGACCAUAGGUGAAUCACACACACGCCACCACCACUCAGGCUUGCCAACCCUAGGACCUCAAGGCUGCCAACACACUCGGCAACUCCUCCCGAGCCGUUGGGUGGCAUGUGUUUCUAAUAAAUAUACACGGUCC
Long non-coding RNA from Scylla paramamosain (green mud crab), 551 nucleotides. RefSeq lists it as uncharacterized. The record is from RefSeq and is a predicted model, not a curated record. The transcript has 2 exons. Lineage: Eukaryota; Metazoa; Arthropoda; Malacostraca; Decapoda; Portunidae.